Molecule: small RNA, 141 nt
Filed under: Staphylococcus warneri
Lineage: Bacteria; Bacillati; Bacillota; Bacilli; Caryophanales; Staphylococcaceae
Description: Ribosomal protein L10 leader
Rfam family: Ribosomal protein L10 leader
About the family: This family is a putative r-protein leader autoregulatory structure found in B. subtilis and other low-GC Gram-positive bacteria. It is located in the 5' untranslated regions of mRNAs encoding ribosomal proteins L10 and L12 (rplJ-rplL). A Rho-independent transcription terminator structure that is probably involved in regulation is included at the 3' end.
Source: RNAcentral
UAUUGUGAUUAUUUUACCUAAGACAGUAGGAGUUAUUUGAUAACUUAAAAACCGAUCCUGCCGAGGCUAAAAUUGACUUGAACGUGACUAUUAAACUUUCAAGCACUUUUUGCCGUGGGUAGAAAGUGCUUUUUUUAUUAA